This 364-nucleotide ribosomal RNA is filed under the name uncultured bacterium. RNAcentral's name for it is "bacterial SSU rRNA". It matches the Rfam family "Bacterial small subunit ribosomal RNA", at positions 28 to 399 of the family's 1533-position model. The record is from RNAcentral.
GAUAAACGCUUGCGGCGUGCAUCAAACAUGCAAGUCGAACGCUCCGCCUUCGGGCGGGGAGUGGCGCACGGCUGAGGAACACGUCGGUAACCUGUCCCGCAGUGGGGAAUACCCCCCCGAAGGGGGUUCAAUUCCGCAUCCGGCGCAGCCUCGUAGGAGGGUGCGCGAAAGCCGCAAGGCGCUGAGGGGAGGGGCCGGCGGGCGAUUAGGCAGGUUGGGGGGGUAAGAGCUUCCCAAACCGAUGAUCGCAGCGGGUCUGAGAGGAUGACCCGCCAGACUGGGACGGAGGAACGGCCCAGACACCUACGGGUGGCAGCAGUUGGGAAUUUUGCGCACUGGACGAAAGUCUGACGCAGCAACGCCG